GGCCUUGGCAUAAGCUCUUGCCUGUUCAAAUUUCAAGUCACUUUUGAAGCAGCUUUACAAAGAAUUCAAUAAUUACCAACAUCUCAUUAUUAUGGAAUGCUAACCAUAAAUAAUUAAUUGCAAUUGCUAAUCCAAACAAGUCCUAAAAUGUGUAAAAGGCUGCAAAAGAAGUCUUGAUAAAUGAAAUUUAUAGCAAUUCUGUUACAAUUAGAUUAUGGUAAUUUAUGGGCACAAAUUUAUGUCAAUAUAUAUAAUGAAGCUGGCCUUAAAAUAAACUUAGUCAAAAUGUGAUAAUAAGUGGUGCUCUGUUAGAUUUUUUUUUUAAUUU
This 328-nucleotide unclassified non-coding RNA is filed under the name Hevea brasiliensis (rubber tree). The record is from RNAcentral. Lineage: Eukaryota; Viridiplantae; Streptophyta; Magnoliopsida; Malpighiales; Euphorbiaceae.